This 440-nucleotide ribosomal RNA is filed under the name uncultured bacterium. RNAcentral's name for it is "partial 16S ribosomal RNA". It matches the Rfam family "Bacterial small subunit ribosomal RNA", at positions 338 to 795 of the family's 1533-position model. The record is from RNAcentral.
CCUACGGGAGGCAGCAGUGGGGAAUAUUGCACAAUGGAGGAAACUCUGAUGCAGCGACGCCGCGUGCGUGAAGAAGUCUUUCGGUAUGUUAAGCUCUAUCAGCAGGGAAGAUAAUGACGGUACCUGACUAAGAAUCCCCGGUUCACUACGGGCCAGCAGCCGCGGUAAUACGUAGGGGGCAGGCGUUAUCCGGAUUUACUGGGUGUAAAGGGUGCGUAGGUGGCAGGGCAAGUCAGAUGUGAACGCCCGGGGCUCAACCCCGGUAUUGCAUUUGAAACUGUCCAGCGGGAGUGCAGGAGAGGUAAGCGGAAUGCCUGGUGUAGCGGUGAAAUGCGUAGAUAUUAGGAGGAACACCAGUGGCGAAGGCGGCUUACGGUACUGUAACUGACACUGAGGCACGAAAGCGGGGGGAGCAAACAGGAUUAGAUACCCCAGUAGUC